RNAcentral lists this transfer RNA (72 nucleotides) under Camelus bactrianus (Bactrian camel). It matches the Rfam family "tRNA". Rfam says of the family: Transfer RNA (tRNA) molecules are approximately 80 nucleotides in length. RNAcentral also lists the same sequence under 1 other name. The record is from Rfam by way of RNAcentral. Lineage: Eukaryota; Metazoa; Chordata; Mammalia; Artiodactyla; Camelidae.
GGGGGCAUAGCUCAGUGGUAGAAUGUGUGCUUAGUAUGCAUGGGGUCCUGGGUUCAAUCCACAGUACCUCCA